CCUACGGGUGGCAGCAGUGAGGAAUAUUGGUCAAUGGCCGGAAGGCUGAACCAGCCAUGCCGCGUGAAGGUCAGUGCCCUAUGGGCGUUAAACUUCUUUUGUGCGGGAGCAAUAAUGGUCACGUGUGGCCAGACGAGAGUACCGUACGAAUAAGCAUCGGCUAACUCCGUGCCAGCAGCCGCGGUAAUACGGGGGAUGCAAGCGUUAUCCGGAUUUAUUGGGUUUAAAGGGUGCGUAGGCUGUGAGGUAAGUCAGCGGUGAAAUGCCCCCGCUCAACGGGGUGAAGUGACAUUGAUACUGCCUUGCUGGAAGGCGGAUGCCGUGGGAGGAAUGUGUGGUGUAGCGGUGAAAUGCAUAGAUAUCACACAGAACACCGAUUGGGAAGGCAGCUCACGAAUCCGCGAUUGACGCUGAUGCACGAAAGCGUGGGUAUCAAACAGGAUUAGAUACCCCAGUAGUC
RNAcentral lists this ribosomal RNA (460 nucleotides) under uncultured bacterium. RNAcentral describes it as "partial 16S ribosomal RNA". It matches the Rfam family "Bacterial small subunit ribosomal RNA", at positions 338 to 795 of the family's 1533-position model. The record is from RNAcentral.